AGAAUCAACGCUGGCGGCGCGCUUAACACAUGCAAGUCGAACGAGAAAGGGGAGCAAUCCCUGAGUAAAGUGGCGUACGGGUGAGUAACACGUGGGUAAUCCACUCUUUGGUGGGGAAUAACCCUGGGAAACCGGGGCUAAUACCGCAUAAGCCUGCAAAGGGAAAGGUGAAAAUCGCCGAAGAAGGAGCCCGCGGCUGAUUAGCUAGUUGGUGGGGUAAAAGCUCACCAAGGCGAAGAUCGGUAGCCGGCCUGAGAGGGCACGACGGACCGACGACCUGGACACUGAAACACGGGCCAGACUCCUACGGGAGGCAGCAGUGGGGAAUCUUGCACAAUGGGGGGCAAACCCUGAUGCAGCGACGCGCGUGAGCGAUGAAGACCUCCGGGUGGUAAGGACUCUUUCGGUCGAGAACGGAAUAAUAGACGACCGUGAAGAAGAAGAUGCGCGUAACUAACGUAGCUAGACGACGCGCC
This 476-nucleotide ribosomal RNA is filed under the name uncultured soil bacterium. RNAcentral's name for it is "bacterial SSU rRNA". It matches the Rfam family "Bacterial small subunit ribosomal RNA", at positions 26 to 532 of the family's 1533-position model. The record is from RNAcentral.